Molecule: ribosomal RNA, 253 nt
Filed under: uncultured bacterium
Lineage: Bacteria
Description: partial 16S ribosomal RNA
Rfam family: Bacterial small subunit ribosomal RNA
Source: RNAcentral
UACGUAGGGGGCAAGCGUUGUCCGGAAUCAUUGGGCGUAAAGCGCGCGUAGGCGGCCCUGUAAGUCCGUUGUGAAAGUCAAAGGCUCAACCUUUGAAAGCCGAUGGAUACUGCAGGGCUAGAGUCCGGAAGAGGCGAGUGGAAUUCCUGGUGUAGCGGUGGAAUGCGCAGAUAUCAGGAGGAACACCAAUGGCGAAGGCAGCUCGCUGGGACGGUACUGACGCUGAGACGCGAAAGCGUGGGGAGCAAACAGG